CACGAGUUUGAUCCUGGCUCAGAACGGACGCUGGCGGCAGGCCUAACACAUGCAAGUCGAGCGCCCCAGCGAUGGGGAGCGGCGGACGGGUGAGUAACGCGUGGGAACGUGCCUCUUGCUACGGAAUAGCCUCGGGAAACUGGGAGUAAUACCGUAUGUGCCCUACGGGGGAAAGAUUUAUCGGCAAGAGAUCGGCCCGCGUUGGAUUAGGUAGUUGGUGGGGUAAUGGCCUACCGAGCCGACGAUCCAUAGCUGGUUUGAGAGGAUGAUCAGCCACACUGGGACUGAGACACGGCCCAGACUCCUACGGGAGGCAGCAGUGGGGAAUCUUAGACAAUGGGCGCAAGCCUGAUCUAGCCAUGCCGCGUGAGCGAUGAAGGCCUUAGGGUUGUAAAGCUCUUUCAGUGGGGAAGAUAAUGACUGUACCCACAGAAGAAGCCCCGGCUAACUCCGUG
This 455-nucleotide ribosomal RNA is filed under the name uncultured bacterium. RNAcentral's name for it is "bacterial SSU rRNA". It matches the Rfam family "Bacterial small subunit ribosomal RNA", at positions 1 to 507 of the family's 1533-position model. The record is from RNAcentral.